Long non-coding RNA from Eucalyptus grandis, 487 nucleotides. RefSeq lists it as uncharacterized. The transcript is spliced from 2 exons. NCBI's taxonomy places the organism in Eukaryota, Viridiplantae, Streptophyta, Magnoliopsida, Myrtales, Myrtaceae. The record is from RefSeq and is a predicted model, not a curated record.
UGUAGUGAUGCUAUGCUUCUGGAAGCAGAUCUAUGUCAGCUUUCCGAAUCUGCAUCUCUGUUGCCCUGCACGACCUUUGUUAAGUUGUCUGAAGUAAGGAGAAGACAGGCGAUGCAGUUGGUCUAUUUGAUUCGACUUCGAGGACAUGAAUGGAGGAUGCGUAAGUUGGUAUAUUCUAAACCUAUCUGGCCAAGUGCCGUCAGGUUCAUAGUGUUGAGAUUGGAGCUUUUUUAUCACUAUAUGUGUCGAUUAGGAUUAGGGGGGCAAUAGUGCGAUCUUCAACAGCCUAAGGGACUGAACUUGGAGAGUAGUAGGGACACCGACUGCUCCACGAAAUAUAGCACAUCUCUGUCUGGUUCGUUAUCUUUGUUUUAAAUAACAUAGGAUAGAUUCUGUAUGUCCUGUGAGCAAAAACCUACCUUGUCUAAAACUACUGCGAUGAGUGGUAAUGUGAUAUCUCGGUUCUAGUCUUGUCCUCUUUUGGUCA